UGUCAACGCGUGCCAGGGGCUACCAUGCAGUCGAGCGGAAACAAAUAGUACUUGCUACUCUGGCGUCGAGCGGCGGACGGGUGAGUAAUGCUUGGGAACAUGCCUUGAGGUGGGGGACAACAGUUGGAAACGACUGCUAAUACCGCAUAAUGUCUACGGACCAAGGGGGGCUUCGGCUCUCGCCUUUAUAUUGGCCCAAGUGGGAUUAGCUAGUUGGUGAGGUAAUGGCUCCCCAAGGCGACGAUCCCUAUCUGGUUUGAGAGGAUGAUCACCCACACUGGGACUGAGACACGGCCCACACUCCUACGGGAGGCAGCAGUGGGGAAUAUUGCACAAUGGGCGCAAGCCUGAUGCACCCAUGCCGCGUGUGUGAAGAAGGCCUUCGGGUUGUAAAGCACUUUCAGUCAGGAGGAAAGGUUAAUAGUUAAUACCUGCUAUCUGUGACGUUACUGACAGAAGAAGCACCGGCUAACUCCGUGCCAGCACCCGCGGUAAUACGGAGGGUGCGAGCGUUAAUCGGAAUUACUGGGCGUAAAGCGUACGCAGGCGGUUUGUUAAGCGAGAUGUGAAAGCCCCGGGCUCAACCUGGGAACUGCAUUUCGAACUGGCAAACUAGAGUGUGAUAGAGGGUGGUAGAAUUUCAGGUGUAGCGGUGAAAUGCGUAGAGAUCUGAAAGAAUACCGAUGGCGAAGGCAGCCACCUGGGUCAACACUGACGCUCAUGUACGAAAGCGUGGGGAGCAAACAGGAUUAUAUACCCUGGUACUCA
This 768-nucleotide ribosomal RNA is filed under the name Pseudoalteromonas sp. Its description in RNAcentral is "bacterial SSU rRNA". It matches the Rfam family "Bacterial small subunit ribosomal RNA", at positions 28 to 797 of the family's 1533-position model. Lineage: Bacteria; Pseudomonadati; Pseudomonadota; Gammaproteobacteria; Alteromonadales; Pseudoalteromonadaceae. The record is from RNAcentral.